CCUACGGGAGGCAGCAGUGAGGAAUAUUGGUCAAUGGGCGUAAGCCUGAACCAGCCAAGUCGCGUGAGGGAUGAAGGUUCUAUGGAUCGUAAACCUCUUUUAUAAGGGAAUAAAGUGCGGGACGUGUCCCGUUUUGUAUGUACCUUAUGAAUAAGGAUCGGCUAACUCCGUGCCAGCAGCCGCGGUAAUACGGAGGAUCCGAGCGUUAUCCGGAUUUAUUGGGUUUAAAGGGUGCGUAGGCGGCCUUUUAAGUCAGCGGUGAAAGUCUGUGGCUCAACCAUAGAAUUGCCGUUGAAACUGGGAGGCUUGAGUAUGUUUGAGGCAGGCGGAAUGCGUGGUGUAGCGGUGAAAUGCUUAGAUAUCACGCAGAACCCCGAUUGCGAAGGCAGCCUACCAAGCCAUGACUGACGCUGAUGCACGAAAGCGUGGGGAUCAAACAGGAUUAGAUACCCUGGUAGUC
Molecule: ribosomal RNA, 460 nt
Filed under: uncultured bacterium
Lineage: Bacteria
Description: partial 16S ribosomal RNA
Rfam family: Bacterial small subunit ribosomal RNA
Source: RNAcentral